Molecule: transfer RNA, 26 nt
Filed under: Pristimantis simonbolivari (Simon Bolivar's robber frog)
Lineage: Eukaryota; Metazoa; Chordata; Amphibia; Anura; Strabomantidae
Description: partial tRNA-Ile
Source: RNAcentral
GGAAGCGUGCCCGAAAGNUUAGGGAC